AUAGUGUUAACUCAAAAUUGAUGUGUUUACUGUUCAUAUUCUCAUUCUUCCUAAUCAAAAUGAUGUACCAAGGAUGAAGUUGAAAAAGAAGAAGUUUGAUUUGGUGUUUUAUUUUUAUUUACAUUAGAGAUUGAUUUGUUUGGAUUUGGUUUUGGUUGUUAAUUACAAUUACAUUUAGUUUUAUCCAUGUUACUUCAUUUUUUUGUUACUUCAAUCUUCUUACGCACACAAAUGACAU
This 238-nucleotide long non-coding RNA is filed under the name Brassica napus (rape). Its description in RNAcentral is "long non-coding RNA (BNAP_LNC022794)". Lineage: Eukaryota; Viridiplantae; Streptophyta; Magnoliopsida; Brassicales; Brassicaceae. The record is from RNAcentral.